GUCCACCACCAACCACCGUCAACCACCACCGACCACCUUUGUCCUCCUCGUCCUAUAGGGCUCUCUCCGCCUCCUUCACCGCCGCCCCCUCGUCGUCGUCGUCGUCGUCGUCGUCCUCGACCACCUCCGAUCACCGCUAGCCGCCGCCAAACACCUCCUACCAUCUCCGUCCGACUCCUAGCACCCCCUACCGCCACUGGCCAACUCCUACCGCCGCCAACUACCCCCUACCACCUCCUGCCGUUUUCGAACACCUCCAACCACCUCCGACCACCGCCGACCUCCUUCGUCCUCUUCAUCCACCUCCUCCACACCCCGUCGUCGUCCACGUUGUCCUCGUCCUCCUCGACCUACUCCGAUCACCGCCAACCACCUCCAAACACCUCCUACAUAGACUGAAGCAUAUAUAGACAGUUGCCCUGAUGAGCUUUGGUGUGACAACCGAAAAUCAUCGUGCGCUUUCGCUCCCUGAGAUGUUCCAACUGUAGAGUUGAGAACUUAUUGCAGAACAUCAGAGGGUUACCGAUUUCGACAUGAUGCUGGCUGCAUUCACCUUCGGAGUCACACAGUCUUCGCAAUGAAAGUGACGUCACCAAAAUCCGUCAGUGACGUCGACCGCCAAAAUUCCUCAGUCUGGAAACAACCGCACAGUAGAGCGGACGGAUGAGAGUCGCGCUCCGCAAAUUUCGAGUACCGGGUUCUCAACCUCCCGGAUCCUGCGCUUCGGAUCCGCUACGUGGUGAAACUCGAGUUCCAGGACAAGUGCUCCGUAGUUUCUGCGCUCCGGGUCCACUACCUAGUGAAACUGGACUUCCAGAACAGGCACUCCGUAGUUUCUGCUCUCAAGGACAAGCGCUC
This is a long non-coding RNA of Neodiprion fabricii, 858 nucleotides long. RefSeq lists it as uncharacterized. The record is from RefSeq and is a predicted model, not a curated record. The transcript has 3 exons. NCBI's taxonomy places the organism in Eukaryota, Metazoa, Arthropoda, Insecta, Hymenoptera, Diprionidae.